This is a non-coding RNA of Petromyzon marinus (sea lamprey), 5677 nucleotides long. Lineage: Eukaryota; Metazoa; Chordata; Hyperoartia; Petromyzontiformes; Petromyzontidae. The record is from RefSeq and is a predicted model, not a curated record.
GGGUGGGGGGUGGGGGGGGGGGGGGGAACUCUACACGCACACAUACGCGCCUACACGCGCACGCGCGCGCACGUUGACACUCGCUGCACGGCCUCGCAUGCGCACGCACGUUCACUGACACGCCGUCGUUGCGCGCGCCGAUGUGCGGAUCUCGUGCACGCUCGCGCAGUCCCGUACGCUCGCACCGCACCGCACGCACACGCUCGAAUGUACUGACGCGCGUGCGUGUGCACGCACCCGCACGUGUACGCUCACGCAAGCGCUCAAAUCUCAUUCGUGACCCAUUCGGUGCCCAAUGCUGUAAAAGCGCAAUAACGCAGAGACGGCGUCACUCUGGCCAGGUUGGAAGUAAAGACACCGCCGGAAGCAGCGUCUGCCACGGUGCAGUUAUCGGAGCGAAGUAAUAUUCUGCUAAUUUUGCGGUCAGAGCAGACCCACGUAGUUUUUGUUACACACGACGUUUUUAAAAAUGUAACUUUAACCGCUGCCACCUGUCCGUCUUUUUGCCGCGGGUUAUUUGUUAUUUUUACGUCUUUCGUCCUGCUCUUUGCUUUGGGCUGUAUCUAAAGAAGGGGAGGUGGGGGAAGGGAUCACCCGCUUGUGGAAGAUUGCACGGGGACUACGGUAGAUUCGGUGUGACGUGGUGUGACGCAGCGCACACGCGUGCACACACACACACACAGACACUGGCGGUAGUGUAAACCCUCUCCUUCACCUGCUGUGAAAACACCUUUUAACGUUUUCCAUCGCAACGUAAUGAUCCGGACGCGGCGGGGGGGGGUGGCGGGUUAAUUUAGACGGAUUUGUUUUGCUUGUGGAGCAUCCAGCUAAUGUGGUGUUUGAAUUAAUUAAAAUCUACAAAGGUUAAAGGAGCAACCCCCCUGCAAGAGGUUCCACCAGAGGGAGCUCUAGAAAGAGUAUCCAGAGAAUAAUUGGGCCUACUGUUGCAUGCUGGUCAUACACGUAUGUUGAGAUUCUUUCGCGCCAUACGUAGCCAACCGUGCUAACGGGAGGUGCUGGGGAAGCCCGGUGAUGAGUGGGCACAAGGAUUAAUUUGCCUUGGCGGGGGGGGCGGGGGGGAGUGGAGGCAUUGGUUAAGAGUGGAGAGCGCAGGAACGAUGACCCGUCUGAGAAUUGAGACCGAGUUGGGGCGAAACCUUGUGAGAGCGUUUCGGCUCCGGUAUCUCGUCUAGCGACACGAGCCGCGUUUUCUUUGCACGUUCGGCCUGUCGCCUGCCAAGCCCCGUGCCCCCCCCCCCCCCCGCGUUACAGCUUGGGUCGCCACCCGCCACGGUUGCCCCGGCGCCGCCGUCCCUCUCGUUGACGAGGUAGCCCCCGUCCUCGGGGAAUCUUCCGCCGGGACGUUUUGUCAGUUUGCCAAAUAAAUGCACCGCGCAGGACGGCGAUGCAUUCGCCGCAUAGUCUCGCCCCCUCACCGCGUCCGCUGUCGCGACGCCGCCUUGUCCCCCCGUUGGCACGUCCCCGGUGCUCUGUACGCCGGAGGUGUGCGACCCUAACCACGGCGCUAACUCGUGGCAUUCCACCGGAGGUGUCGGGCGAUUUAUUUCAAGAGGGGGCCCCAUCUAGAAACCUCGUCACCGCCGCCUGUCCAUCCCCCUCCACCGGAGUCACACGGGGGACGGUGCGUCCCCAAUUCUCUCGCCCGUCCCCUUGAACGUGCAGCGUCCCUCGCGAAACCGCGGCCUCCCGCGUUCGUCGGAGGCCACGUUCAGUGCCACGACGGACAGGCCGACGUUAGGAGCCUCUGAAUUAAACCUCCAAAUGGAAGCCGCGUAUUUAGAGGUCUGCCGCGUUAGGCUCGUGAGGGCUCCACAAGCCUAACGCGAUCCACGACUACCGAUUUUCGGGGCGAUCCUUUGCCGGCCAGCGCGUUAAACCGCGAGCGACUUUGCCUAAUUGCUGGCCGACGGGAUGCAGUGACGGUCAUCCCAUUAUGCAGCGCAUCAUUGCCGGUCACUCGGUUUAUGCCGGUGUAUUGCAAUGUAAGCCUUGCUUAAUGGAGACGCUCUAAAUCAGGAGGGCGGCUUCCCCUUUCAUCCGUCAACAUCCCACUCGCGCACCGGACUCGAAGCGACGUGACGUCGUGCAGUCACGUCCUGCCGCCUCCGACGUGUGCCGUCUCUCGUUCGAUUGGAAGCUGCCGUCUCAGUUUACCACGGCGGGGGAGGGAGGCGGCGAUUUCGAUUUGUUCAGAUUUUGGGGCGGCAAUAUUUUUGUUCCAACGGGAAGCCGCCUGGCUGCGAUCGCUGGGGACGAUUGCUGUAACCGUUGCACCCGCGGAAUCGAGCGUGGCCUUGAUGCCAGCCCCGGGCUCGGGAGUCGGUCCGAACCAUUUCUGUUGGCGCUAGCGCAGCGUUGGGUUCGUAGCACGGCAGCAGUCCAACUCGCUUGAAUCGUUUUUUUUGUCGCAAGGAUCGCCAACGACAUUUUUUUUCUUCUAAAGGCCGUUCCGUUUGGCCGUGAGAACAAAUGCAUGAGUGGUGAUGCAUGUGCGGUGGUGGUGGUGGUGGUUGUGGAGGUGGCCGUGGUCGUGGAGGUGGUUGUGGCAGAUGUCGUGGUUUUCGCGAUCGUUUUUAAUCGCCUCUGUCUGGGAGGGGUAGCGCGUUUUUGUGCAACGGUGAGCGUCGGUUUCUGAGACAGAUCCAAAACUCCAGGUUUCGUGAGCCCCCCCCCCCUGCUCACCCCCCCUCCCUCCCACCUAAUGUUGUAAUGAAUGUCUUUGAAAUUUUUCCGGGGUGCUAUCUAGGAACACAUUCUAAAAGUAACUCGAAUUGUGAUUUUUCUUAUUUUACCAGGUUAAGUCCACUGCUUUACCUGGUCCACUCGUAAUUACUCCUCACAGAAGUGGCCGGUAUCAUCGUCAUCGCACGUGGGAAGUUAUAUAGUAGCGGCCAAAUAAUCUAAACGCACGUUGAUUCUAAAUGUUGAGGGGUGGGGUGGGGGCCAAAACUGGCGGGACCUGGAGGAGAAAAUCCACACUACGACCACCGUGGGGGGGGGUGGGGGGGGGAGAGAGAACACGCGGAUUCCAACUAUACAACAAGAGGCAUCGCCAGGGUCCACGAUGGAACCCACGACCUUGCGCACCGGGCGAGGGAGAUGUGCGACAGGUGUGCUGGGUGCUGCGGUGUGCCAGGUGCCAAGAUAUUGUCGUACCCAGCAGAAAUUAAGCCAUUGGGUCACAACUGCACUUUUUAUUUCCUAUCUAGAAAUAACCUUCGGUAAAAAUAAUUAUAACCGUUAUUUGUUUCCAGCCUGCGCCCCCCACCCCCCCCCCCCCCCCCACAUAUUUCUGUCCGAUGAGUUCCUCGUAAUUUUAAAGGAAGUGGCCGAGUUGGUUUGAGCGGGCGAGCACCUUUGCCUGCGCGCACGAACGGCGUGGCGACUGGCGCUUUCACGUCAGCUGGCUCUGCCUCGGGUGACGAUCUGGCACUCCAACACGCGUCCAGCAUUGCCGCUCGCCGUGGCCACGAGCCCAACGUACCGCCGACUCCCAAUACGUCGGCGGCUCGGAAAACAUUUCUGCAAGCAAGCCGGCACACCAAAUUCAGCGUACAACCUCUCGCUGCAGUCUGCGGCGGCUAACUAGUCACGAGGCCACCCACCCGAACGAGUCUUCCGGAGACGCGGAAAAAAUAAAACCGCCCGUAAAAUAUUGCCUGCGGGGCCGGCACACCGCCUCGAGUAUUCCUCUCCCUUUGGCUACGACCGGUCACGGGCCACCUGCUCGAGUCGAGGGGGUUUGACGACUCGCUGCCAGCGACGCGAUUUGUCCGCGUGCGUGAGGAGGCACGGGGCUGUUGGUGGUGCCGGGGUGCGCGCGUAGUCGCGUGCCUCCCGUGUCGCCGUUCCCUCGCGACGACCACGGUUAAGGAGUCGGGACUACGGUCCCGACUCCUUAAUCGUUGCUGCCAUUUGGACGAGUCGAGAGUUAUUUCUGUGGGCACGCGUGUUCCCGUGCACGUGUCUGUGUGUGCGUGUCUGUGUGCGCGUGUCUGUGUGCGCGUGUCUGUGUGCGCCUGUCUGUGUGCGCGUGUCUGUGUGCGCGUACCGUCGUCGUAUGUGCUAACAGUUGCCAUUGUUAAAGACAAUUCGUCGCCAAUUAUUUUUGUUAAAUUUUUUUUUUAAUAUGGGUUUGCAAUAUAAUAGAGCACUGUAAUCACGUUUGUCCCGUAUCUCUUUGUGGAACUUUAAUAGGCGCCGGUUAUUAACUUGUAUCCCCAGGGGCCAUUUGAGCGUUGUAUGUUAAACGCCGCGUGGAAAACAUUCGGCGCUGCGACGAUGGCGAUGCUUAGUUUAUAUAUAUACGGGGUUCGAAUUAGAUUGAGUCGUAGCAGCUUGCACCAAGAGAACAAUCGAACCUUUGCAUGUUUUUAUUUUAUUUUAGCCAUUUCAUUUCGAGAGCCUACGUGUGACCUUAAUAAUGUGACACGGUCCAAGUUCGAAUGUUCAGGAGCGUCCCACUACUCUAGCUCUCCCGAUGCGUUUGUCCGGUCGUGCCGAGCACGAGUUCGACGCGAGGCCCGACGUUUCGGCCCGCGUGCCAGGAUCUCCUUCGGUGGCGCGUGGAGCGAAAGGUCAGGCAUUGUGCCGAACGACGCGCGGGCUAACCACGAAAACACGUCGGAGCCGCACAGCACAACCAGGAAAACCUACGCAGUACUAUUUUACUCUAUGUUGAUUGAAAUAUUGAUUGUAUAUAAUACUAACGUUUGGCAACAAGCAUUGCCUCCAUUGGCGGUGACGUGUUGAGCAAUCGAGUGCUUGAAACUCCCUUUGGGUCACCAAAUUCACAAUUCUACAUCAAGAGUUCAACCGAUCAAUUUAGUUAAGACUCAGGCCAGAGCCUUUCUAUACCUCUUUUUUUUCCACCGCACAACUGAGCCGUGCCGAGCCAGCCCUGUGCCACCGGGGAAAGCUCCCAAAGAGUUCCCCCCCCCCCCGCCUCCACCCCACUACAGAAGCCGAACCGUGCCGCUGACGGUCGUGCUUGACGCUUGACGUUGCGAUACCCCCGUGACCACCCUGUGUUUUUGGUUCAGCACAGCAGAUAGCCAGGUGGGGAAAAAAACACCCGUACCACGAGGGCCUCGCGCUGGCUCGGCUCGGAUGUGCCGGUGGAAAACAAGAGGUAUUUCAUAGACUAUAGCUGGGUGUUCAUACAAGUCAAUGGGGCCGUUAGUUGUUUUUUGUAACGUUAUUUCAGAAUUUCAAAAUUGUUUUGACUUGUGGCGUGAUUGUACUGGCGGCAAGCAAGGAACGGCCCUUGCACCCGAGCGUACGGGAACCGCUGCAAAACUGUAGGAGGUUGACGGAGGGACCCAUUGUUGAAUCGCAUUUCUCUAGAAUCGUGCCAGGUGUGUUAACCAAGGUGUCGGGCCAAUUCUCGGUGCCUGAAGCAUCCGCUGCGCACCGCUCGUUAGCAGCGAAGUCGCAAGCUCACGAACAAUCGGCAAGCGAGAAACCAGACGACGCAUUUGAGAUUUACAUUUUUCAAAAGAGCUCAAUUACACACGCGCAGUUAUUGGUAAACUACUGUUUUAACGUGUCAGAUUUGCCGGUUUUCAGGUGUUGUUAACAAAAAUGUAAUGUGGCUGCAAGGAAAAUAUUUCUCUUUUUUUUUACAGUAUAUUAAAAUGGUUUUGAUUUACGUACA